Molecule: long non-coding RNA, 549 nt
Organism: Erinaceus europaeus (western European hedgehog)
Lineage: Eukaryota; Metazoa; Chordata; Mammalia; Eulipotyphla; Erinaceidae
Exons: 3
Source: RefSeq, a predicted model, not a curated record
ACACCCCAGCUCAGGUCUCAGACCCAGGCAGUGGAGACCCCCACACCCCCCAGCUCAGGUCUCAGGCCCAGGCUGCAGGCAGUGGAGACCCCCACACACCCCAGCUCAGGUCUCAGACCCAGGCAGUGGAGACCCCCACACCCCCCAGCUCAGGUCUCAGGCCCAGGCUACAGGCAGUGGAGACCCCACACACCCCAGCUCAGGUCUCAGGCCCAGGGAGUGGAGACCCCCACACACCCCAGCUCAGGUCUCAGGCCCAGGCUGCAGGCAGUGGACACCCCCACACACCCCAGCUCAGGUCUCAGACCCAGGCUGCAGGCAGUGGAGACCCCCACACAUCCCAGCUCAGGUCUCAGGCCCAGGCUGUAGGCAGUGGAGACCCCCACACACCCCAGCUCAGGCCCAGGUGUGGAGACACCCACACACCCCAGCUCAGGUCUCAGGCCCAGGCAGUGGAGACCCCCACACACCCCAGCUCAGGUCUCAGGCCCAGGCAGUAGAGACCCCCACACACCCCAGCUCAGGCCUCAGACCCAAGCUGCAGGCAGU